Molecule: non-coding RNA, 71 nt
Organism: Bisporella sp. PMI_857
Lineage: Eukaryota; Fungi; Ascomycota; Leotiomycetes; Helotiales; Helotiaceae
Source: the annotation of a GenBank genome assembly
GCGGAAAUGGUUUAAGGGUAAAAUCAGCGCUUCCCAUGCGCUGGCUCCGGGUUCGAGUCCCGGUUUCCGCA